CCAAUAGCGUAUAUUAAAGUUGUUGCAGUUAAAAAGCUCGUAGUUGAAUUUUAGGCCUGACCGGACGGUCCGUCUCUGGCGAGUACUGUUCUGCUGUCGGGUCUAUCCUUCUGGUGAGCCGGUAUGCCCUUUAUUGGGUGUGUCGGGGAACCAGGACCAUUACCUUGAAAAAAUUAGAGUGUUUAAAGCGGGCUUUUGCUUGAAUAGAUUAGCAUGGAAUAAUAGAAUAGGACGUUGGUUCUAUUUUGUUGGUCUAGGACCACCGUAAUGAUUAAUAGGGAUAGUUGGGGGCAUUAGUAUUCAAUUGUCAGAGGUGAAAUUCUUGGAUUUAUUGAAGACUAACUACUGCGAAAGCAUUUGCCAAGGAUGUUUUCAUUAAUCAAGAACGAAAGUUAAGGGAUCGAAGACGAUCAGAUACCGUCGUAGUCUUAACCAUAAACUAUGCCGACUAGGAAUCGGGCGACGUUAUUUUCAUGACUCGCUCGGCGCCUUAUG
Molecule: ribosomal RNA, 495 nt
Filed under: uncultured Glomeromycotina
Lineage: Eukaryota; Fungi; Glomeromycota
Description: partial small subunit ribosomal RNA
Rfam family: Eukaryotic small subunit ribosomal RNA
Source: RNAcentral